RNAcentral lists this unclassified non-coding RNA (3120 nucleotides) under Leishmania donovani. RNAcentral's name for it is "gene:LdHU3.25.2300(CDS-product:ATP-grasp_domain/D -ala_D-ala_ligase_C-inus/SET_domain_containing_protein_puta tive)". The record is from RNAcentral. Lineage: Eukaryota; Euglenozoa; Kinetoplastea; Trypanosomatida; Trypanosomatidae.
CACACACAUACACAGAGCAGCCACAGACUCGAUCACUCGCACGCACAGUGCCAGACGUGUGUGCACGCACAUACGCGCGCGCGCACGUACGUGUACGCCUUUGCACACCCAUUUAUACAACAUAGACACUCACCCAUCAUAGAAAGCGUAGCAGCCCCUUAUUUAAAGUAACGUGCCCCAUCGCGCCCGCGAGAGGGAGAGAGGGGCACGCACGCGCGCACACACACGUAAACGCGCAUCUGCGGACACCUGCGCUUGUUGAAAAGAGCUCAUCCUCUUAUCUUUCCUCUUUGUCCUUCAUGAUCUGGCGCGGCGGCAGGGGCGCUGCGCGAUGGGCGGCCGGUGCGUUGCGAUGCUUGCACUACUCCCCUAGCGCAGCGGCCAUCCUUGCGAUAGCAGCGCCGCUAUCGACGUGCCGCGUGCAGCUGCUCGGCCACUGGUCGGCGACUGCACCGCGCACCGCGCUCGUCGCGGGAACCGCUUUGGUCUACCAGCAACGUCUCUACGCGAGCACGGCUGCAUCAGGGAGCAGCGGGGCCUUCCAUGGGCAUGACCACCGCUUCAGCGACAGCAAGAACGGAGCGGCAGGCAGCAGCGGCUCCUCCUCGGCCAACAGUGGCGCCGGCGGCAGCAGCAGCAUCAACGGCUACGGCGGCGGUAGUGGAUUCCGCGGCAGCGGGGCCGCCAAGCAGCAGCAGGCGGGCAAGUGGAUCAAAAAGGUCAAGGCAAGCCGCCGUAUACUGAAGAGCAAGCGCGCAGGACCGAAGGCAAAGGCCGCAUCCACGCCAGCCUCCUCCGCCUCUGGUGGCUCGGCGGCGACAGCGUCGGCCAGCGCAGCGUCUGGUGGCGCCUCAGCGAACCAGGGUAGCGGGGCGGGUCGCAGUAGUAGUGGCAGCGGUGGUGGUAUCGUGGCGUCGCUGUCGCCGGGCGCAGCCUCUGCCCAGUCGCGCACCACCGCUUGUCGACGCAAGAAGAAGAGCAGCCGAGUCCCCCCGCCCCCGUCGGGCUCGCCGCCAACGCCUGGCAGCAGUGCAGCGACGAGAGGAUCUAGGCGCCCUCUCACGUGCAAAAGGGCCUCAACUGGUUCCCUCAGCGGCACCGGCGCAACUGCGAAGAAGGCGGUCACGGUCGCACACGCCGCCUCCCACGGCCGCUCGGCAGCCUCUUCCCCGUCCGCCACCGCCGCUGUACGCGCCAAGGCAAAGAAGCGAAAGCGCAUCCGCAUUUGCGUACUCAGUAGCAGCUACGACGGCACCGACUCGGCAACGGCCAGCGUGGACAACUACUGGUGCACGCCGCAGCACUACAUGAAGAAGGACCGGCACAAGUACUCCUUCGCCGAUGUGUCCAUGAAGAAAAUCGACUCGUACCGCACCGUGCGUAAGCUGGUGACCUCCAACAAGUACGACGUCUUCUUCAACCUCUGCGACGGCGGCCGUGAUGAGAAGCGCGCCGGCGUCGACGUGGUAGAGGCGCUGGAGGAGCAGAACGCCGCCUUCACCGGCACGGACUCGCGCGGCUUUGAGCCGAGCAAGAUCGACAUGAAGCUGAUGGUCGGGUCGAGCGGUGUCAAGGUGCCCAAUUUUGUGCUGCUCAGCAACGAUGAGAGCCUCGCCAAGAAGUGCCGGCACCUGAAGUUCCCAGUGAUCGUGAAGCACCUCUCCGGCUACGCAUCCGUUGGCAUUCAAAAAGACAGCCGCUGUGACACGCUGGAUCAGCUGCGGACGAAGGUGCGCGGCUUCAUCAAGGAGUACAACCACGCGCUGGUGGAGGAGUUCAUUCGGGGCCGCGAGGGCACCGUGCUGGCCUGUGCAGACCCUGGCAGCCCGUUCGGCGUGAAGGUAUUCAAGCCGCUCAUGUUCAACUUCCUGCAGAACAACGACGACUUUGCGUACUUUGAGAAGAAGUGGACGAUGGAGUGUGGCGAUCAGGCGUACGGCUUCCUCGCCUCGUCGGACCCGGCCUACACCGCCAUCACGGAUAUGGCCCGAAACGCGUUCAAGUACAUCAUGAGCGGCGUCGGCUACGGUCGCGUCGACUUCCGCAUCGACGAGCUGACCGGGGAGCCGUACUUCCUGGAGAUUAACCCGAACUGCGGUAUGUGGUACGCCCCGAAGGACGGUGGCGACUUCGCAGACGUGAUGGUCGAGGGAGACCCACACUGGAACCACGAGCGCUUCGUUGCCAACGCCGUGGCGCGGGCACUGCGAGACCAGGCGGCACGCAAGCCGUGGUACUUCAUCAGUCACGACCGAAACGGGCAGUUCUCCACGCGAGCCAGCAAAACAGUAGCGGCCGGCAAGUGCCUCUUUGGCGACGCGGUGCACCCGAUCCCGGUGGUGGCCAAGUCGCUCUACAAGCUGGGCGAGGAGGAGCCCACAGUCGGCUGCGUCAUCUGCCGCGGCGAUGGUAUUCACCAAGCGGUGGCGCUGCGCCACUCGUGUGAGCCGAACAUGGGUUUUGUGCACGGCCGCACCUUGCUCUUCGCCGCCAAGCGGCAGAUCAACGUUGGCGAGGAGCUCACGGUCGACUACGCCACCCUGCGCGAUGAGUCGAUGCCUCACUUCGUGUGCAGCUGCGGCACUGAGAAUUGUCGUAGUGUCAUUUUUCCUAUGCCGGCAAUGCCGCGCACCGUCGAGGCCAAGACGAUGAAGCGGUUGCUACGGGAGAAGAAGCAGGUCUGGAUGAAGGAGAAGGCGGACCGCGAAGCGGAGCGGAUCCUCAAGAAGCGCUCCUCGCGCGCCCCGUCCUCUUCCGCGUCUGGGAGUGGCGGUGGUGGCGCCUCUGCAGGUUCAUCGUCCAGCGCCGGCCACGCCAGCAGCAGUGCAAGCGGUGGUGCCAGCUCCAGCAGCGGCAGCGGCAGUAGUAGUGGCAUUAGCACCUCGGAGAAAAGGUAAUGUUGUGUGAGGGGGACGAGAGGGGGCCGACAACUGUCUGUUCAGCACGUGCAAGUACACGCACACGCACUCAAUGAAGUGGUCUCACCUCGACUGUACCGACGGAUGAUGGGCUGCAUGAUGCCUGCCUGGAUGGCUGGUGUGUCUGUGUGGGUGCGCCUACACGUGCAAGUGUAGUGAGAGAUCCGUUCCCGCUUCGCUUGUCGUCAUGACGCAGCAGAAG